UCCCUGAUGGUCCAGUGUCUAAGACUCUGUUUUCCCAAUGCAGGGGGCACGGGUUCAACCCCUGGUUGGGGAA
Molecule: transfer RNA, 73 nt
Filed under: Bos taurus (domestic cattle)
Lineage: Eukaryota; Metazoa; Chordata; Mammalia; Artiodactyla; Bovidae
Also listed under: 5 other names
Rfam family: tRNA
About the family: Transfer RNA (tRNA) molecules are approximately 80 nucleotides in length. Their secondary structure includes four short double-helical elements and three loops (D, anti-codon, and T loops). Further hydrogen bonds mediate the characteristic L-shaped molecular structure. tRNAs have two regions of fundamental functional importance: the anti-codon, which is responsible for specific mRNA codon recognition, and the 3' end, to which the tRNAs corresponding amino acid is attached (by aminoacyl-tRNA synthetases). tRNAs cope with the degeneracy of the genetic code in two manners: having more than one tRNA (with a specific anti-codon) for a particular amino acid; and 'wobble' base-pairing, i.e. permitting non-standard base-pairing at the 3rd anti-codon position.
Source: Rfam by way of RNAcentral